UACGGAGGGUGCAAACGUUGCUCGGAAUUAUUGGGCGUAAAGCGCACGUAGGCGGCUUGUUGUGUCUGGUGUGAAAUCCCUCGGCUUAACUGAGGAAGUGCAUCGGAAACUAACAGGCUUGAGUACAGAAGAGGGUCGCGGAAUUCCCGGUGUAGAGGUGAAAUUCGUAGAUAUCGGGAGGAACACCAGCGGCGAAGGCGGCGACCUGGGCUGAUACUGACGCUGAGGUGCGAAAGCGUGGGGAGCAAACAGG
Molecule: ribosomal RNA, 253 nt
Filed under: uncultured bacterium
Lineage: Bacteria
Description: partial 16S ribosomal RNA
Rfam family: Bacterial small subunit ribosomal RNA
Source: RNAcentral